GACGAACGCUGGCGGCGUGCUUAACACAUGCAAGUCGAACGGAAAGGCCCUUCGGGGUACUCGAGUGGCGAACGGGUGAGUAACACGUGGGUGAUCUGCCCUGCACUUUGGGAUAAGCCUGGGAAACUGGGUCUAAUACCGAAUAGGACCACGCGCUUCAUGGUGUGUGGUGGCAAGCUUUUGCGGUGUGGGAUGGGCCCGCGGCCUAUCAGCUUGUUGGUGGGGUAAUGGCCUACCAAGGCGACGACGGGUAGCCGGCCUGAGAGGGUGACCGGCCACACUGGGACUGAGAGACGGCCCAGACUCCUACGGGAGGCAGCAGUGGGGAAUAUUGCACAAUGGGCGCAAGCCUGAUGCAGCGACGCCGCGUGAGGGAUGACGGCCUUCGGGUUGUAAACCUCUUUCAAUAGGGACGAAGCGCAAGUGACGGUACCUAUAGAAGAAGCACCGGCCAACUACGUG
Molecule: ribosomal RNA, 462 nt
Filed under: uncultured bacterium
Lineage: Bacteria
Description: partial 16S ribosomal RNA
Rfam family: Bacterial small subunit ribosomal RNA
Source: RNAcentral